Molecule: ribosomal RNA, 254 nt
Filed under: uncultured bacterium
Lineage: Bacteria
Description: partial 16S ribosomal RNA
Rfam family: Bacterial small subunit ribosomal RNA
Source: RNAcentral
UACGUAGGGUGCAAGCGUUAAUCGGAAUUACUGGGCGUAAAGCGUGCGUAGACGGUAGCGUAAGUCGGGUGUGAAAGCCCCGGGCUCAACCUGGGAAUGGCAGUGGAUACUGGCAAGCUAGAGUGCGGUAGAGGGUAGUGGAAUUCCCGGUGUAGCGGUGAAAUGCGUAGAGAUCGGGAGGAACACCAGUGGCGAAGGCGGCUACCUGGGACCAGCACUGACACUCAGGCACGAAAGCGUGGGGAGCAAACAGG